Molecule: long non-coding RNA, 662 nt
Organism: Lathyrus oleraceus (garden pea)
Lineage: Eukaryota; Viridiplantae; Streptophyta; Magnoliopsida; Fabales; Fabaceae
Exons: 2
Source: RefSeq, a predicted model, not a curated record
ACAAUUAUUUUCAAAGUUUUUCAAAGUAGAAAAAAACAAUUAAAGGUUCCUCCUAAUUCUUCCCUAAUAACUCAAAUCAAAACCUACGGGUUAAGAACCCUAGAUGGCAAUUCAUAAAAUAAACUUCAACCACGCUCAAAUUCGAUCUACAACUAUGGGGAAAAUGUCCCUCUACCCUCACACAAUAAAAUGGUAACAAGAAGUUGAAGAAAACAAAGAGAAAUGGUGUGAGAUUUCCGGAGCAGAUCGAAAUUGAAGAUGCACAAUGAAAAAGGAUGCAGGUUGUUUGUGAUGUGCCGGGAUGACUUGGCUUGGUGUUUGACCAUGAUUCAAGAAUGUUUGGCAUGAAGGCUCAUGUCGAUAACUUGAAGAAAUAAAGCUUGCUUGCACAUGAAGAAAUUUGUCCAUGAAAUCAAGUGAAAGGAUGGAUAAGAAUUAAUCGUAAAAGGACAUUUUGAAUUAGGACUAGAAAUUAGGUCAGUUGACUUUGGUCAACUAGUUGAUCAAAAAGUUAACAGUUGACCAAAAGUCAACUAUAGGUCAAAGUCUUAUUUUUUUUGUAAUUUUUUUGUAUGAAUAUUGCAAAUGAUAUUUGAUGUGAAAAUAGCAAGUGUACUAUUUUUCUCACUGUAGUAAUAAAAGGGAAAUUCCCCGUUUGUCGA